Molecule: ribosomal RNA, 433 nt
Filed under: uncultured bacterium
Lineage: Bacteria
Description: partial 16S ribosomal RNA
Rfam family: Bacterial small subunit ribosomal RNA
Source: RNAcentral
AACGAACGCUGGCGGCAUGCCUAACACAUGCAAGUCGAACGAGACCUUCGGGUCUAGUGGCGCACGGGUGCGUAACGCGUGGGAACCUGCCCUUAGGUUCGGAAUAACUCCCCGAAAGGGGUGCUAAUACCGGAGAAUGUCUUCGGACCAAAGAGUUAUCGCCUUUGGAUGGGCCCGCGUUGGAUUAGCUGGUUGGUAGGGUAAAAGCCUACCAAGGCGACGAUCCAUAGCUGGUCUGAGAGGAUGAUCAGCCACACUGGGACUGAGACCCGGCCCAGACCCCUACGGGAGGCAGCGGUGGGGAAUAUUGGACACUGGGCGAAAGCCUGAUCCCGCAAUGCCGCGUGAGUGAUGAAGGCCUUAGGGUUGUAAAGCUCUUUUACCCGGGAUGAUAAUGACAGUACCGGGAGAAUAAGCUCCGGCUAACUCCGUG